RNAcentral lists this ribosomal RNA (494 nucleotides) under uncultured bacterium. RNAcentral describes it as "partial 16S ribosomal RNA". It matches the Rfam family "Bacterial small subunit ribosomal RNA", at positions 28 to 507 of the family's 1533-position model. The record is from RNAcentral.
GACGAACGCUGGCGGCGUGCUUAACACAUGCAAGUCGAACGGUGAAGCGCCUUCCUUUUUGGUGGGUGUGGAUGAGUGGCGAACGGGUGAGUAACACGUGAGUAACCUGCCCCCUUCUUCUGGAUAACCGCAUGAAAGUGUGGCUAAUACGGGAUAUUCUGGGUCUGUCGCAUGAUGGGUCUGGGAAAGAUAUUGUUUCGGUGGGGGAUGGGCUCGCGGCCUAUCAGCUUGUUGGUGGGGUGAUGGCCUACCAAGGCGGUGACGGGUAGCCGGCCUGAGAGGGUGGACGGUCACACUGGGACUGAGACACGGCCCAGACUCCUACGGGAGGCAGCAGUGGGGAAUAUUGCACAAUGGGCACAAGCCUGAUGCAGCGACGCCGCGUGAGGGAUGGAGGCCUUCGGGUUGUGAACCUCUUUCGCCAGUGAAGCAGGCCUGCCUCGUUUGUGGGUGGGUUGACGGUAGCUGGAGAAGAAGCGCCGGCUAACUACGUG